GUGCAGAGGAGUUGAGUACCGUUUAGCGAUAUUUACCAGUUCUAAAUAUCGAACACACCCUGCCAUUAUGAUUAAUCACCUUGUUGGUUAAACUAUAACAACCAGUACUUUUAAAAUAAAUCAUGAUGUAAACCAUUUUUUUUUUCAUUUUCUUUAUUUUUCUUUUCUUUUGUCAGCCUGCAAUAGGAGGCAACUGCCUACAUG
RNAcentral lists this long non-coding RNA (204 nucleotides) under Mytilus galloprovincialis (Mediterranean mussel). The record is from RNAcentral. Lineage: Eukaryota; Metazoa; Mollusca; Bivalvia; Mytilida; Mytilidae.